UGAACUUGUUGAGAUUGAAAAGGAUGUUAAACACAUUCCCCGAAAGCUUGCAGCCCUUCAAGUCGCGUAGGGUAAAGUAGCUCUCGUUCUCCGGCGAAACCAUAUCGAUCAUCUGGCAAAGAAUAUCUUCAAAGAGAACAGGUUCCUGUGCCAUGCAUUCCAUACGAUGCAGUUGCUCCUCGUAAAAGAAUUGCAUUUCACUCAUUGUGAGGACUCCAUUUCCAUCCAAAUCAAUACACUUGAACCAAUACUCAAGGCUAGGUUCCGAUGAUUUAUCCUCCUCAG
RNAcentral lists this unclassified non-coding RNA (285 nucleotides) under Hevea brasiliensis (rubber tree). The record is from RNAcentral. Lineage: Eukaryota; Viridiplantae; Streptophyta; Magnoliopsida; Malpighiales; Euphorbiaceae.